Mugil cephalus (flathead mullet) is the source of this 419-nucleotide long non-coding RNA. RefSeq lists it as uncharacterized. NCBI's taxonomy places the organism in Eukaryota, Metazoa, Chordata, Actinopteri, Mugiliformes, Mugilidae. The record is from RefSeq and is a predicted model, not a curated record. The transcript is spliced from 4 exons.
GAUUUCCGUCGAGUUUGUGGGCAACGCUGAUGCGUCUGACCAUCACCACAAAACAAUUCUGAUCUCUUCCCAAGAAGAUUCCAUGGAGUGGACAGCAUAUGGUGAACAAGGUUACUACAGCAACGUGGGCUCAUCUGGAUCCUCCACUGGCAAUGAUGGUGAAAUCCCAAUGGAGAUAGACUAACAUGAUUAUGAAAACAACAGUGUCAAGGAAAUGGAUGAAGAUUUGCUGAAAACUCUGCUGCAUUCCACAUGAACCUGCACACCCCAACCGUAAUGCAGCUGGACGACUUAUAGCUUUAGCUUUCUUAUAGCAAAGGCAAACGGAAUAAUGACGCAAACAUUUCAAGACAACACAUACUUUUUACAAGCACAAUUUAGACUGAACUAAAGAAUUUACACUGGAAAAAUGAUGCUAA